GACGAACGCUGGCGGCGUGCUUAACACAUGCAAGUCGAACGGAAAGGCCCUGCUUUUGUGGGGUGCUCGAGUGGCGAACGGGUGAGUAACACGUGAGUAACCUGCCCUUGACUUUGGGAUAACUUCAGGAAACUGGGGCUAAUACCGGAUAGGAGCUCCUGCUGCAUGGUGGGGGUUGGAAAGUUUCGGCGGUUGGGGAUGGACUCGCGGCUUAUCAGCUUGUUGGUGGGGUAGUGGCUUACCAAGGCUUUGACGGGUAGCCGGCCUGAGAGGGUGACCGGCCACAUUAGGACUGAGAUACGGACCAGACUCCUACGGGAGGCAGCAGUGGGGAAUAUUGCACAAUGGGCGGAAGCCUGAUGCAGCAACGCCGCGUGCGGGAUGACGGCCUUCGGGUUGAAAACCGCUUUCGCCUGUGACGAAGCGUGAGUGACGGUAAUGGGUAAAGAAGCACCGGCUAACUACGUG
RNAcentral lists this ribosomal RNA (468 nucleotides) under uncultured bacterium. RNAcentral describes it as "partial 16S ribosomal RNA". It matches the Rfam family "Bacterial small subunit ribosomal RNA", at positions 28 to 507 of the family's 1533-position model. The record is from RNAcentral.